GCUGAUGAAGAGCGUGGCAAGCUACGAAAUGCUCUGGCGAGGCGCAUGCAGCCUUUGAACCAGAGAUCCUUGAAUGAGACUUCUCAUUUUAACCCGAGAGGGUGAGGAACCUAGGGAACUGAAGCGUCUCAGUACCUAGAGGAAAAGAAAUCAAUUGAGAUUCCGUGAUUAUCAGCGAGAGAAAACGGAGUAGGGCAAACUGAAUCCCCUGCAGAAAUGUAGGCGGAGAUGUGGUGUUAUAAGACUUGCUUUUCAACCUAAUUUUACUGACUCAAAGUCUCCUGGAACGGAGUACCAUAGAGGGUGAUAGUCCCGUAGAGGAAGGUGAAAAGGAUAGCGAGUAUCUUGAGUAGAGUACAUUGGAAAUUGUGCUCGAAUUUGGGAGACAUCAACUUCCAACCCUAAAUACGUCUUGAGUCCGAUAGCAUACUAGUACCGUGAGGGAAAGUUGAAAAGAACUCGUGAUAGAGAGUUAAAAGAACCUGAAAUCUAAUGGUUAUAGAAAGGUGCGGCUUUAAGGAGUUGCACCGUGCGUUUCGAAUAACGCGCCGGGGAGUUUACUUCAGUGGCAAGGGUAAGUCUGUCAAGGACGUACCCGAAGGGAAACCAAAAGCUCGCAGCUUGCGAGGAGCGAGGUAUGAAAAUGCCUCAAGUCACUGGGGUAUUACCCGAAACCAGGCGAUCUAGCCUUGGGCAAGGUGAAGCCGAUUGUAUGAUUGGUGGAGGCCUGAAGAGGUGCUACGUGCAUGUGUUCUUAUGACCUGAGGCUAGGGGUGAAAGGCCAAUCGAGCCUGGUAAUAGCUGGUUCCUGCCGAAAUAGGCCUAAGUCUAGUCUCGGAGGAGAUAGUUGGAGAGGUAGAGCUACGGAUUUGAAGGCCCGGGGGAGAAAUUCCUCACUUUCUUGUCCAACUCCAAAUUUUUCAACAUCGUAGAUUCCGGGAAACGGGGAUACUGGGGUAAGCUUGUAUUCCGAGAGGGGAACAACCCUGAUUAUGGUUAAGGUCCUUAAAUGCCAAUUAAGUGUGAAAGGGUGAAAGGUGUUCAUGACCACAGACAGUGGGGAGGUUGGCUUAGAAGCAGCCAUCCUUUAAAGAAAGCGUAACAGCUCACCUAUCAAGGUCAUGUGCCCUGAAAAUGGACGGGACUAAAUUGGCUACCGAUACCAUAACCCUCCAUGCAAGAGCGUGGAAGGGAGUAGGCAGGUGAUCUGCUAGGGUAGAACCAUAGUCGUAAGACUCUGGGAACCUGGUAGAUUUAAGAAUCCCGGCAGUAGUAGGAUCAAUUUACAGUGAGAAUCUGUAGGGCCGGAAAGGUAAGGGUUUCUCAGCAAUGUCGGUCAACUGAGAGUUAGUUAGUCCUAACUGCAAUCCUAACAGGAGUUGCGGGAAAGGGAAAACGGUUAAUAUUCCGUUACUAUCCUUGUACGUGCGGCAACGCAAGAUUAUUUUCUGACGCUUCAGGAUAAGCCUACUGCCAUCAUCGUGGCAGUCAAUUGAAACAAGCCAACGGAGUACCGUAACGGUGAGAAGUUGGUUAAAGUCAAGAGGAGCAGGCCUUGAGUCUGUUAGGCCAAUAUCUGGAGCCCGUGAAAAGGGAAAUAAUAAGGAUCAAGGAUAUCUAUACCUAGAACCAGCACUGGUACCUAGGGUGAGAAGCCCAAGGCCCGAGGGAUUAAUCUAGGUUAGGGAAUUCGACAAAUUAGCCCCAUCUCUUCGGUAUAAGGGGUCCCUGCGCUUGUAUCUGCAUAGGUGCGAGUACAGGGUACAAUAACUAGGGGGACCCGACUGUUUAACAAAAACUUAACUAACUGCUAGCCAGAAAUGGUGUGUAUAGUUAGUGACGUCUGCCCAGUGCUAGUACUUUAAACUCUGUUUCAACGGAGCUAAGAGCUAGUAAACGGCGGGAAUAACUAUAAUUCUCUUAAGGUAGCGAAAUGCCUUGUCGUUUAAUUGACGACCUGCAUGAACGGCGUAACGAGGUCCCUAUUGUCCCAACCUAGAGUCCCCCGAACAUUACAUUCUGGUGCAAAGUCCAGAGACUUCCAGUGGGAAGCGAAGACCCCAUGGAACUUUACUGUAGCUUGUUGUUGCGAUGUGAGUUUGGUUGUGCAGUGUAGGUGGGAGUUGUUAAGUCUUAGCCGCCAGGUUAAGGAUAGACACAAAUGAGACACCACCCUUCCGAAUUUACAUCGCUCACUUCCGAAAGGAAGGACAUCAGUAGGUAGACAGUUUGGCUGGGGCGGCACCCAGGUGAAAAGAUAUCACUUGGGCCCAAAGGUAAGCUCAGCAGGUUCAGAAAUCCUGCGUAGAGUGCAAGAGCAAAAGCUUGCCUGACUGUGUUCUGAAUAGUAAGGAACGCAGCACCGAAAGGUUGGUCUAGCGAACCCCUGUGUCCCAAUUGAUGGGGGCCAGGUAUGACAGAAAAGCUAUCCUGGGGAUAACUGAGUCGUCGCGCCUAAGAGCUCAAAUCGACGGCGCGGCUUGCUACAUCGAUGUCGGCUCUUCCUAUCCUGGCUGUGCAGAAGCAGCCAAGGGUGGGGGUGUUCACCCAUUAAAAGGGAUCGUGAGCUGGGGUCAGAACGUUGUGAGACAGUUUGUUUAAUAUCUACUGGAAAUGUAAAAUGUCUGAGGGGAAGGACCUUUUAGUACGAGAGGAACAAAGGUUCGAUGCCUCUGGUUUACCGGUUAUCCGACAGGGUACGCCGGGCAGCUACGCAUUAAGGGAUAAGAGCUGAAAGCAUCUAAGCUCGAAACCCGCCCUAAAAAGAGACAUUUUGAUCUCCCAUAAAAGAUGGGUUUGAUAGAACAGGUGUGUAAGUG
RNAcentral lists this ribosomal RNA (2819 nucleotides) under archaeon. RNAcentral describes it as "23S ribosomal RNA". It matches the Rfam family "Archaeal large subunit ribosomal RNA". The record is from RNAcentral.